GACGAACGCUGGCGGCGUGCUUAACACAUGCAAGUCGAGCGGUAAGGCCCUUUCGGGGGUACACGAGCGGCGAACGGGUGAGUAACACGUGGGUGACCUGCCCUCAGCUCUGGGAUAAGCCUGGGAAACCGGGUCUAAUACUGGAUAUGACUCCAUGACGCAUGUUGUGGGGUGGAAAGCCUUGUGCGGCUGAGGAUGGGGCCCGCGGCCUAUCAGCUUGUUGGUGGGGUGANGGCCUACCAAGGCGACGACGGGUAGCCGGCCUGAGAGGGCGACCGGCCACACUGGGACUGAGACACGGCCCAGACUCCUACGGGAGGCAGCAGUGGGGAAUCUUGCGCAAAUGGGCGAAAGCCUGACGCAGCGACGCCGCGUGAGGGAUGACGGCCU
RNAcentral lists this ribosomal RNA (390 nucleotides) under uncultured bacterium. RNAcentral's name for it is "bacterial SSU rRNA". It matches the Rfam family "Bacterial small subunit ribosomal RNA", at positions 28 to 417 of the family's 1533-position model. The record is from RNAcentral.